This 90-nucleotide transfer RNA is filed under the name Patescibacteria group bacterium. RNAcentral's name for it is "tRNA-Ser". It matches the Rfam family "tRNA". Rfam says of the family: Transfer RNA (tRNA) molecules are approximately 80 nucleotides in length. Their secondary structure includes four short double-helical elements and three loops (D, anti-codon, and T loops). The record is from RNAcentral.
GGAGGGUUCGCAUAGUGGUCUAGUGCGCCCGCUUGGAAAGCGGGUAAGGUGUUAAAGCCUUCACGAGUUCGAAUCUCGUACCCUCCGCCA